UGUAAAAUCAACCUCCAAUAAACUCCAGGC
Molecule: non-coding RNA, 30 nt
Filed under: Mus musculus (house mouse)
Lineage: Eukaryota; Metazoa; Chordata; Mammalia; Rodentia; Muridae
Source: RNAcentral